GCCGGGGUGGUGGAAUCGGCAGACACGCUAGGUUAAGGACCUAGUGGGCACAUAGCCUGUACGGGUUCAAGUCCCGUCCCCGGUACCA
RNAcentral lists this transfer RNA (88 nucleotides) under Candidatus Fermentibacterota bacterium. Its description in RNAcentral is "tRNA-Leu". It matches the Rfam family "tRNA". From Rfam's summary of the family: Transfer RNA (tRNA) molecules are approximately 80 nucleotides in length. RNAcentral also lists the same sequence under 1 other name. Lineage: Bacteria; Pseudomonadati; Candidatus Fermentibacterota. The record is from RNAcentral.